Uranotaenia lowii is the source of this 651-nucleotide long non-coding RNA. RefSeq lists it as uncharacterized. The transcript is spliced from 3 exons. NCBI's taxonomy places the organism in Eukaryota, Metazoa, Arthropoda, Insecta, Diptera, Culicidae. The record is from RefSeq and is a predicted model, not a curated record.
GGUAUUUUGUUUUGAUCGUCGCGAAGUGUCGAUGCACGGCCGACAAUCAAUUAAAUCCGCUGGAAACUUGGAUACCUCGUGCACAAUUCGAUCAAACGGAUCUGAAGUGAAGGAACAUUAACCUGUUGAGAUCGAGUGCCGCUAGUCCCAACCGGGUGCUGCAUGUUAAGAUACAUCAACAACACAUUUGGAUGACUUUCGAGGACAUGUGGAGAACCUGAUGGUUCAAAUCUUAUUCCAAAAUAAAUUAAUACUAAUGCGGAUGUCGUGGAUCUCUCUACAUGGAACGCUAUCACCGGAUGCAUGAUUCGUUUUCAACGGAAAGGUUAAAUACACUCAGAAAUGAAAAAAAUAUAAAAUUAUUAUUUUUCAUGUAUUUUCCCGCUUCACCGUGCCCACUCACUGAGUUAUUUCUCGGCGUGUAAUAACUGAAAUAUUUCUCGUCGAGAAAUAUCUCGGGUAUUAAAAAUUUGAGAAAUAUCUACGACAGUGACAUCUGGUGGUGGUGGAUGGAACGAAAUUUAAAUUGGUGGUUGCACUUCAGGAUUAAUUUCAAUUCAAUUUUUAAAAUAUUUGAUAAUUUUUCAUUUUAUUUUAAUUUUAAAAAUAUCACAAAAAUAAAAAUAAAUUUUUUCGGCAUAUUUGCAAACU